UACAGAGGGUGCGAGCGUUAAUCGGAAUUACUGGGCGUAAAGCGUGCGUAGACGGUUAUUUAAGUCGGGUGUGAAAGCCCCGGGCUCAACCUGGGAAUUGCAUUCGAGACUGAAUAGCUAGGGUACGGUAGAGGGAAGUGGAAUUUCCGGUGUAGCGGUGAAAUGCGUAGAUAUCGGAAGGAACAUCAGUGGCGAAAGCGGGUCUCUGGGCCGUAACUGACGCUGAGGAGCGAAAGCGUGGGGAGCGAACAGG
This 253-nucleotide ribosomal RNA is filed under the name uncultured bacterium. RNAcentral's name for it is "partial 16S ribosomal RNA". It matches the Rfam family "Bacterial small subunit ribosomal RNA", at positions 524 to 776 of the family's 1533-position model. The record is from RNAcentral.